RNAcentral lists this ribosomal RNA (284 nucleotides) under uncultured bacterium. Its description in RNAcentral is "partial 16S ribosomal RNA". It matches the Rfam family "Bacterial small subunit ribosomal RNA", at positions 335 to 636 of the family's 1533-position model. The record is from RNAcentral.
UGUCCUACGGGAGGCAGCAGUGGGGAAUAUUGGACAAUGGGGGAAACCCUGAUCCAGCGACGCCGCGUGAGUGAAGAAGUAUUUCGGUACGUAAAGCUCUAUCAGCAGGAAAGAAAAUGACGGUACCUGACUAAGAAGCCCCGGCUAACUACGUGCCAGCAGCCGCGGUAAUACGUAGGGGGCAAGCGUUAUCCGGAUUUACUGGGUGUAAAGGGAGCGUAGACGGUUGUAUAAGUCUGGAGUGAAAGCCCGGGGCCCAACCCCGGGACUGCUUUGGAAACUGU